Molecule: ribosomal RNA, 308 nt
Filed under: uncultured soil bacterium
Lineage: Bacteria
Description: bacterial SSU rRNA
Rfam family: Bacterial small subunit ribosomal RNA
Source: RNAcentral
AGAACGAACGCUGGCGGCAUGCCUAAUACAUGCAAGUCGAACGAACUCUUCGGAGUUAGUGGCGCACGGGUGCGUAACGCGUGGGAAUCUGCCCCUUGGUUCGGAAUAACAGUUGGAAACGACUGCUAAUACCGGAUGAUGACGAAAGUCCAAAGAUUUAUCGCCAAGGGAUGAGCCCGCGUAGGAUUAGCUAGUUGGUGAGGUAAAGGCUCACCAAGGCAACGAUCCUUAGCUGGUCUGAGAGGAUGAUCAGCCACACUGGGACUGAGACACGGCCCAGACUCCGUACGGGAGCAGCAGUAGGGAUA